Molecule: ribosomal RNA, 253 nt
Filed under: uncultured bacterium
Lineage: Bacteria
Description: partial 16S ribosomal RNA
Rfam family: Bacterial small subunit ribosomal RNA
Source: RNAcentral
UACGUAGGGUGCAAGCGUUAAUCGGAAUUACUGGGCGUAAAGCGUGCGCAGGCGGUUGUGCAAGACCGAUGUGAAAUCCCCGGGCUCAACCUGGGAAUGGCAUUGGUGACUGCACGGCUAGAGUGUGUCAGAGGGGGGUAGAAUUCCACGUGUAGCAGUGAAAUGCGUAGAGAUGUGGAGGAAUACCGAUGGCAAAGGCAGCCCCCUGGGAUAACACUGACGCUCAUGCACGAAAGCGUGGGGAGCAAACAGG